GACGAACGCUGGCGGCGUGCUUAACACAUGCAAGUCGAACGAUGAAGAAGAGCUUGCUCUUCGGAUUAGUGGCGAGCGGGUGAGUAACACGUGACUGACCUGCCCCUUUCUCUGGGAUAACGCUCCGAAAGGAGUGCUAAUACCGGAUACUCACAUCGAGGCACAUGCCUUGAUGUGGAAAGUUUUUCGGAAAGGGAUGGAGUCGCGGCCUAUCAGCUUGUUGGUGAGGUAACGGCUCACCAAGGCGACGACGGGUAGCCGGCCUGAGAGGGCGACCGGCCACACUGGGACUGAGACACGGCCCAGACUCCUACGGGAGGCAGCAGUGGGGAAUAUUGCACAAUGGGCGAAAGCCUGAUGCAGCGACGCCGCGUGAGGGAUGAAGGUCUUCGGAUUGUAAACCUCUUUCAGUAGGGACGAAGCGAAAGUGACGGUACCUAAAGAAGAAGCACCGGCUAACUACGUGCCAGCCGCCGCCGUAA
RNAcentral lists this ribosomal RNA (482 nucleotides) under uncultured bacterium. RNAcentral describes it as "partial 16S ribosomal RNA". It matches the Rfam family "Bacterial small subunit ribosomal RNA", at positions 28 to 523 of the family's 1533-position model. The record is from RNAcentral.